UGCAGUCGAGCGAACGGAUAGGAGCUUGCUCCUUUGAAGUUAGCGGCGGACGGGUGAGUAACACGUGGGUAACCUACCUAUAAGACUGGAAUAACUUCGGGAAACCGGAGCUAAUGCCGGAUAACAUUUGGAACCGCAUGGUUCUAAAGUAAAAGAUGGUUUUGCUAUCACUUAUAGAUGGACCCGCGCCGUAUUAGCUAGUUGGUAAGGUAACGGCUUACCAAGGCAACGAUACGUAGCCGACCUGAGAGGGUGAUCGGCCACACUGGAACUGAGACACGGUCCAGACUCCUACGGGAGGCAGCAGUAGGGAAUCUUCCGCAAUGGACGAAAGUCUGACGGAGCAACGCCGCGUGAGUGAUGAAGGUUUUCGGAUCGUAAAACUCUGUUAUUAGGGAAGAACAAAUGUGUAAGUAACUGUGCACAUCUUGACGGUACCUAAUCAGAAAGCCACGGCUAACUACGUGCCAGCAGCCGCGGUAAUACGUAGGUGGCAAGCGUUAUCCGGAAUUAUUGGGCGUAAAGCGCGCGUAGGCGGUUUCUUAAGUCUGAUGUGAAAGCCCACGGCUCAACCGUGGAGGGUCAUUGGAAACUGGGAAACUUGAGUACAGAAGAGGAAAGUGGAAUUCCAUGUGUAGCGGUGAAAUGCGCAGAGAUAUGGAGGAACACCAGUGGCGAAGGCGACUUUCUGGUCUGUAACUGACGCUGAUGUGCGAAAGCGUGGGAUCAAACAGGAUUAGAUACCCUGGUAGUCCACGCCGUAACGAUGAGUGCU
Molecule: ribosomal RNA, 775 nt
Filed under: Staphylococcus sp. X7-CRBM-E14
Lineage: Bacteria; Bacillati; Bacillota; Bacilli; Caryophanales; Staphylococcaceae
Description: bacterial SSU rRNA
Rfam family: Bacterial small subunit ribosomal RNA
Source: RNAcentral